RNAcentral lists this ribosomal RNA (253 nucleotides) under uncultured bacterium. Its description in RNAcentral is "partial 16S ribosomal RNA". It matches the Rfam family "Bacterial small subunit ribosomal RNA", at positions 524 to 776 of the family's 1533-position model. The record is from RNAcentral.
UACGUAGGGGGCUAGCGUUGUCCGGAUUUAUUGGGCGUAAAGAGCGUGUAGGCGGCCAGGUAGGUCUGCUGUGAAAACUCGAGGCUCAACCUCGAGACGUCGGCGGAAACCAUCUGGCUAGAGUCCGGAAGAGGAGAGUGGAAUUCCUGGUGUAGCGGUGAAAUGCGCAGAUAUCAGGAAGAACACCCGUGGCGAAGGCGAGUCUCUGGACAUUUCCUGACGCUGAGGCACGAAAGCCAGGGGAGCAAACGGG